This 161-nucleotide small RNA is filed under the name Gopherus agassizii (Agassiz's desert tortoise). RNAcentral describes it as "TUC338 (ENSGAGG00000006079.1)". The record is from RNAcentral. Lineage: Eukaryota; Metazoa; Chordata; Testudines; Testudinidae.
AUUUUAGCACUGCUGAAUAACUGCAAUGAGCAGGUACUACAGUGGAGGUGUCAGUUCAGGCUUUCCCAUAUUACCCCAUCAGUGUGUCUUGACUCUGCCCUGGAGGGCACCUGACUAGAUUUGAUGGUUCCAACUCUAUGCCCAUGCAAUCCUUGGCUUCA